This 484-nucleotide ribosomal RNA is filed under the name uncultured bacterium. RNAcentral describes it as "partial 16S ribosomal RNA". It matches the Rfam family "Bacterial small subunit ribosomal RNA", at positions 30 to 507 of the family's 1533-position model. The record is from RNAcentral.
AUUGAACGCUGGCGGCAGGCCUAACACAUGCAAGUCGAGCGGAUGAAGGGAGCUUGCUCCUGGAUUCAGCGGCGGACGGGUGAGUAAUGCCUAGGAAUCUGCCUGGUAGUGGGGGAUAACGUCCGGAAACGGGCGCUAAUACCGCAUACGUCCUGAGGGAGAAAGUGGGGGAUCUUCGGACCUCACGCUAUCAGAUGAGCCUAGGUCGGAUUAGCUAGUUGGUGGGGUAAAGGCCUACCAAGGCGACGAUCCGUAACUGGUCUGAGAGGAUGAUCAGUCACACGGGAAGUGAGACACGGUCCAGACUCCUACGGGAGGCAGCAGUGGGGAAUAUUGGACAAUGGGCGAAAGCCUGAUCCAGCCAUGCCGCGUGUGUGAAGAAGGUCUUCGGAUUGUAAAGCACUUUAAGUUGGGAGGAAGGGCAGUAAGUUAAUACCUUGCUGGUUUGACGUUACCAACAGAAUAAGCACCGGCUAACUUCGUG